RNAcentral lists this ribosomal RNA (505 nucleotides) under uncultured bacterium. Its description in RNAcentral is "partial 16S ribosomal RNA". It matches the Rfam family "Bacterial small subunit ribosomal RNA", at positions 28 to 507 of the family's 1533-position model. The record is from RNAcentral.
GACGAACGCUGGCGGCGUGCCUAAUACAUGCAAGUAGAACGCACAGUUUAUACCGUAGCUUGCUACACCAUAGACUGUGAGUUGCGAACGGGUGAGUAACGCGUAGGUAACCUGCCUGGUAGCGGGGGAUAACUAUUGGAAACGAUAGCUAAUACCGCAUAAUAUUAAUUAUUGCAUGAUAAUUGAUUGAAAGAUGCAACUGCAUCACUACCAGAUGGACCUGCGUUGUAUUAGCUAGUAGGUGAGGUAACGGCUCACCUAGGCGACGAUACAUAGCCGACCUGGGAGGGUGAUCGGCCACACUGGGACUUGGACACGGCCCAGACUCCUACGGGAGGCAGCAGUAGGGAAUCUUCGGCAAUGGACGAAAGUCUGACCGAGCAACGCCGCGUGAGUGAAGAAGGUUGUCGGAUCGUAAAGCUCUGUUGUAAGGGAAGAACGGGUGUGAGAGUGGAAAGUUCACACUGUGACGGUAUCGUACCAGAAAGGGACGGCUAACUACGUG